This 485-nucleotide ribosomal RNA is filed under the name uncultured bacterium. RNAcentral describes it as "partial 16S ribosomal RNA". It matches the Rfam family "Bacterial small subunit ribosomal RNA", at positions 28 to 523 of the family's 1533-position model. The record is from RNAcentral.
GAUGAACGCUAGCGGCAGGCCUAAUACAUGCUAGUCGAACGGUGUCUUCGGACAUAGUGGCGCACGGGUGCGUAACACGUAUGCAACCUACCUUACAUUGGGGGAUAGCCUUUCGAAAGGGAGAUUAAUACCGCAUAAGACAGUAGCUGGGCAUCCAGCAGCUGUUAAAGAUUUAUCGAUGUAAGCUGGGCAUGCGUCCAAUUAGCUAGUUGGUGAGGUAACGGCUCACCAAGGCAAUGAUUGGUAGGGGAACUGAGAGGUCAAUCCCCCACACUGGCACUGAGAUACGGGCCAGACUCCUACGGGAGGCAGCAGUAGGGAAUAUUGGGCAAUGGACGCAAGUCUGACCCAGCCAUGCCGCGUGCAGGAUGAAGGCGUUAUGCGUUGUAAACUGCUUUUAUACAGGAAGAAACUACUCUUGCGAGAGGCAUUGACGGUACUGUAUGAAUAAGCACCGGCUAACUCCGUGCCAGCCGCCGCUGUAA